UACUACUUUUGUUACUGCUACUUCUCCUACAACGUUUUCUUCUUCUUCUACCUUCAUCAUCUUCAUCUUUUUCUUUUACUUUUCUUUAUUUUUCUUCUAUCUUCUUUCCUUCUUCCUUUCCCUCUUCCCACUCAUUCCCAUUUCCUUCUCCUUCUCCUCCUUUGUCUCCCUCUCUACAUCUUCUCCGUCUCUUUCCUUUGUCUCUCUUUUAUUCCCCUUCCUUAUGUAAGGUUAUGAGGAAUCGUCAGCUUCCAGAACAGAGAUUAUUCACUAGUCAUUAUAUCUUUUGUGAUUGACAUUCCCAAAAUGAAGUAUUUUCACUCUUUUUAGCAAUUUCUCAGUCUUUGGAAUGUUUUUUUUUUUUUUUUUUUUUUUUUUUUUUUUUUUGUCGUUUAUUCAUUUUUAUGCCAUUUUGUUUACAUUGUGCCAGGAGGUGUAAGGUGGCAUGUGCCAUUUUCGCGUGAAGUUUGUUAAAAUGGGUAUCGGUGAAAUUAAGCGAGUUUUUUGAUGGCUUACUAGUCUAGUGAUUGUGCUUUAUUGUAAGUUGUAGUCUUUGAUGUCAAGUUUAUUUUGUUCUUGGUGUCAAAAUAGAUUUUAUUUCUCUCUCUCUCUCUCUCUCUCUCUCUCUCUCUCUCUCUCUCUCUCUCUCUCUCUCUCUCUCUCUCUCUCCUCUCUCUCUCUCUCUCUCUCUCUCUGUUUUUCUUCAAUAUGUAUUUUUGGUUUUGUUCUUGGAUGUCAAGUUUUUUUCUUGAUGUCAAGAUAAGUUUUGAGAUUUUUUCUUGCAUUGAAGUUGCAUUUAGAGUUUUAUUCUUUAGUAUGUCAUGUUGAUUUCAAUUAUUGGUCUUUUUGAAUUUGUUCUCUGAUGUCCGGGUAGAUUUCAGAUUUCGUUCUCUGGUGUCAAGUCAGAUUUCAGACUUUGUUCUUUGAUGUCAAGUCAGAUUUCAGACUUUGUUCUUUGAUGUCAGGUUAGAAUUCAGACUGUUCUUUGAUGUCAGGUUAGAAUUCAGACUUUGUUAGAAUUCAAAUUUUGUUCUUUGAUAUAGAUUUUCUCUAAUUUCAAAUUAAGUUCCAGAUUUUGUUUAUGGGAAAGAAUGUCAGGUUAUAUAUAAGGAACAAAGACCAAAGUUUUAGAACUGAAUCGAGGUUCUAAAAAGUGAUAAGUAGAGGUUUAAUCCUGUGUGCAGUGUCCAUUCUGUGCAUGUUGAGGUAUCUGUGUUGAAUGCAAUUGCAAAAAAUUAUGCCUUCUGAUCACUUCCCAUUCUGAAAAAGGCGUUGGAACUGAACGUUUACUUAUGCGCACUUAAUGGAUAUGUAUGUGCACGUGUGGAUCUGUAUGUAUACUUAAUGUGCACAUGUGGAUUUAUAUGUAUACUUAUGUACACACAUGGAUCAGUGUGUAUACUUAUGCACACUUGUGGAUCUAUAUGUAUAUUUAGGUACACACAUGGAUCUACAUACACACUUCCCUGUUCUUUCUUUUUCUUUUCUUUUCUUUUCUCUUUCCUUCUCCCUCUUUCUCAUCUAGCUUUUUUUUCCUCCUGCCUCUUUCUCCCUCUCCAUUUUCCUCACCUCCCUCUCCUAUGUUUUUCUUUCUCUUUUUUUCCUUUUCUUACUUCAUCCAGUGUGUGCCUUGUUCUUUUGCUUCAGAAUGUGAACAAUAGUGAACAAGAUGAAAGUGAUUCAUACCAUUUAGAAACGACUACAAUUUUUAUUCAUAUUCUUGUCUGAUUUGCCUUUUUUCCUUGCAGUCAAGUGAUAUAAAACUAGAUUUAUAUAUAGAGAGAGACAUUGUUACAAACAAAUAAACCCACUGAUGCUAGGGAUAGAAUACAUGACCCUGCCCACACUGAAUUUCGUUUUUUAAUUAAAAGUACACAUAGAUGAUUCCAUUAGUAGUCACCUGUUUACUCUUUUCUUUGAUUUUUGGAAAUAUUUUACUUGACUCAAUAACCACGGGUUUACGUAAUGUUCCCUGUAUUUUUUUUGUGAAUUUUGUUGUAUACAGAUGGCUCCACAAGUGCUCAGCCAGCAAGGGGUCUAGCAGUAUGUCCUACUGACUGGUCCUGAUUUCCCCAUUCCUUGAAUUGGUGGGAAAAUGUGAUCUUCUUUCAGAUACUACUGCUAUUGAUACUGUUAUUAUUAUUAUUGAUAUUAUGAUGAUUAAGUUGUUAUUAAAAUCUUUGUAAUAUUAAAAACAAUGAAAUAACACAAAAGGUACUUUCCAAAAAAUCAAUGAAAAGGGUAAAGAAGUGAGAUAGGUAGAACUAGUAACUGACUCCCUGGUGACUAAGCACUUUUAGAGCCAUCUAUGUGUACAGACAGUAAAUGAACUUAUAUUACAGUAGGCAUGGCAUGUUAUCUUGCCGUCUGUGCUGAUUGGGUUAAUUUCAUAUUGCUAUUAGUUUUGUUAAUAGUACUGUUAUAAUUAUAAUGUCAGUAAGAGUAAUAGCAUCAUCAAUAUUAAUGGCGUUAGAAAGAAAUAUUUUAAAAUACCACAGAAAUGAAGGGAAGGGGGAAAGCAGGCGAGGUCGUGUAGACUACUAUUUGACUCCUUGGUGGAAGAGCAUUUGCAGAGCCAUCUGUGUGUAGGUACAUCUCACAAAAUAACACUAUAGUCACCAUCACAUUUACACAUUAUAGUGGGUUAAUUAGUUUCUUUGGUUUAUUGAGAGUGAUUUUAUGAACUGAGUAUUUGCAUAUACC
Long non-coding RNA from Penaeus monodon (black tiger shrimp), 2703 nucleotides. RefSeq lists it as uncharacterized. The record is from RefSeq and is a predicted model, not a curated record. The transcript has 2 exons. NCBI's taxonomy places the organism in Eukaryota, Metazoa, Arthropoda, Malacostraca, Decapoda, Penaeidae.